ACGAGUAUUAAUACGACGGUCUUUAAAGUGCGAACUGUCUUGUGUAAUAAUGUUAAAAACUCUGAGGUCUCGUUUUAUAAAUAGACAUAAACUAUGAUCAUGUACCACAGACUAUCUUUUUGAAAGAGGGAUUUAAGUUUUGUGUUAUGUACCAACUUAUGUACAGUAUGUUGGAGGUGCUAGCUUUCUGGUUGGGUUGGGAUAAAACGCGGAUGCGGACGGACGGACGGAC
Non-coding RNA from Paramuricea clavata, 232 nucleotides. The record is from the annotation of a GenBank genome assembly. Lineage: Eukaryota; Metazoa; Cnidaria; Anthozoa; Malacalcyonacea; Plexauridae.